ACACGGGGAAACCUGUGCUAAUACCGGAUAAGUCCUUACGGAGAAAGUUUUAAUGCCAAAAGAUGAGCCCGCAUUUGAUUAGUUUGUUGGUGAGGUAAUGGCUCACCAAGACUACAAUCAAUAGCUGAUUUGAGAGGAUGAUCAGCCACACUGGGACUGAGAUACGGCCCAGACUCCUACGGGAGGCAGCAGUGGGGAAUCUUGCACAAUGGGCGAAAGCCUGAUGCAGCGAUGCCGCGUGAGUGAAGAAGGCCUUUGGGUUGUAAAGCUCUUUUGUCGGGAAAGAUAAUGACUGUACCCGAAGAAUAAGGUCCGGCUAACUUCGUGCCAGCAGCCGCGGUAAUACGAAGGGACCUAGCGUAGUUCGGAAUUACUGGGCGUAAAGAGUAUGUAGGCGGCUAGAUAAGUUAAUUGUGAAAGCCCAAAGCUUAACUUUGGAAUUGCAAUUAAAACUAUUUAGCUAGAGUAUGAUAGAGGAAAGCAGAAUUUCUAGUGUAGAGGUGAAAUUCGUAGAUAUUAGAAAGAAUACCAAUUGCGAAGGCAGCUUUCUGGAUCAUUACUGACACUGAGGAACGAAAGCAUGGGUAGCGAAGAGGAUUAGAUACCCUCGUAGUCCAUGCCGUAAACGAUGUGUGUUAGACGUUGGAAAUUUAUUUUCAGUGUCGCAGCGAAAGCGAUAAACACACCGCCUGGGGAGUACGACCGCAAGGUUAAAACUCAAAUGAAUUGACGGGGACCCGCACAAGUAGUGGAGCAUGUGGUUUAAUUCGAAGAUACGCGCAGACCCUUACCAACACUUGACAUGUUCGUCGCGACUCUAAGAGAUUAGAGUUUUCGGUUCGGCCGGACGAAACACAGGUGCUGCAUGGCUGUCGUCAGCUCGUGUCGUGAGAUGUUGGGUUAAGUCCCGCAACGAGCGCAACCCUCACUUUUAGUUGCCAUCAUUAAGUUGGGCACUCUGAAAGAACUGCCAGUGAUAAGCUGGAGGAAGGUGGGGAUGACGUCAAGUCCUCAUGGCCCUUACGUGUUGGGCUACACACGUGCUACAAUGGUAUCUACAACAGGAAGCAAGACUGCGAGGUCAAGCAAAUCCUUAAAAGAUACCUCAGUUCGGAUUGCACUCUGCAACUCGAGUGCAUGAAGCUGGAAUUACUAGUAAUCGUGGAUCAGCGUGCCACGGUGAAUGCGUUCCCGGGUCUUGUACACACCGCCCGUCACACCAUGGGAGUUGGUUCUACCUUAAGGAAAGGUUUCAAACCCUUGACCACGGUAUAGUCAGCGACUGGGGUGAAGUCGUAACAAGGUAGCCGUA
RNAcentral lists this ribosomal RNA (1312 nucleotides) under uncultured bacterium. RNAcentral describes it as "bacterial SSU rRNA". It matches the Rfam family "Bacterial small subunit ribosomal RNA", at positions 146 to 1504 of the family's 1533-position model. The record is from RNAcentral.